GGGGCUGGCGGGCCUCGAACCCACGACCUACGGUUUAGGAAACCGUAGGUCGUGGGUUCGAGUCCCGCCAGCCCCG
RNAcentral lists this transfer RNA (76 nucleotides) under Cyanobacteria bacterium bin.51. RNAcentral's name for it is "tRNA-Pro". It matches the Rfam family "tRNA". From Rfam's summary of the family: Transfer RNA (tRNA) molecules are approximately 80 nucleotides in length. Their secondary structure includes four short double-helical elements and three loops (D, anti-codon, and T loops). Lineage: Bacteria; Bacillati; Cyanobacteriota. The record is from RNAcentral.